UACGGAGGGUGCAAGCGUUAUCCGGAUUUACUGGGUUUAAAGGGUGCGUAGGCGGGCUUUUAAGUCAGCGGUGAAAGCUUCGAGCUUAACUCGGAAAUUGCCGUUGAUACUAUUAGUCUUGAAUUAAGUUGAGGUGGGCGGAAUAUGUCAUGUAGCGGUGAAAUGCUUAGAUAUGACAUAGAACACCGAUUGCGAAGGCAGCUCGCUAAACUUAUAUUGACGCUGAGGCACGAAAAGCGUGGGGGAUCAAACAGG
Molecule: ribosomal RNA, 255 nt
Filed under: uncultured bacterium
Lineage: Bacteria
Description: partial 16S ribosomal RNA
Rfam family: Bacterial small subunit ribosomal RNA
Source: RNAcentral